Molecule: non-coding RNA, 1053 nt
Organism: Heterocephalus glaber (naked mole-rat)
Lineage: Eukaryota; Metazoa; Chordata; Mammalia; Rodentia; Bathyergidae
Source: RefSeq, a predicted model, not a curated record
GUCCAGAAGGAGCGCGAAGGGCACUCCGGGCCGGCGCCACGCUCCGCCCGCCCCCACCUGCUUAUCUGAGGUCCCCGGGUGUCCCCGUCCCAUCCCCGAAGGAGCCUGUGCGGCGCUUACCCGAGAGGGGCGGCUCCCGGGGCUGGCGGUCCAGCCGGCUGGGGAGGCAUCAGUACUCUAAUCGCUUCGGUUAAAGUACCAAACGACCUUUGCCUGGAGAAAGGAAAAGUGAAAAAGGAAGAAGGCAAAGAACAACCUUUGUGAAAGCCAGGGAGGUGUUUAAAGGCACCAGCCCUGCAGUAAAAGGAUGACUUCAAUUGAAAAGGUGCCUACAGGGUGAAAUCAUUUCUUGACACCGCCAAGCUGACAUAUCAGGUAUGUUGAAGAAAGGAACUAAUUCCAACUUUAUUUCUCAAAAAUAAUUGCAUUCAGAAAUUCUCAACAGGGACAGUACUCCAUCCUUGAGAGUCACUUGGAAACGCAAAUCAACCAUCUUCAUCUCUCCAUCUUGGUCACCAUCUUUUAUGGCUGCAGGACCAUAGCUUAUGGAAAAAUGCACACACAUGCUCUGCGAAGAAAAGAAGGUACUCUACAGAGUCCACCAUUUCUCACCCUCAAUCCUAAAAUCCAAUGAUCCUGCAAAUGGGAAGUUUUUUAAAAAAAUAGCUGUGGCAAAGCCUUCCCUGACCUCAGCUCAUUUGGCAAUAAACCUUCACCUACAGUGGUUGGAGACUUCUAUGGUUUGGAUAAAUGCACCUAAAGGUCCUGGUCCUCAGGCCCUGGUGCAACUGAGAGGAGGUGGAACCUUUAAUGGUGGGAGCCAGUGGGAGAUCUUUAUGUCAUUGGGGGCAUUCCCUUAAAAAGGGGUUGGGGGUAUCCUCAUCUAUUCCUCUUCCUCUCUCUUUUGCUUCCGGGUCAUGAGUUGAGCAGUAUUGUUCCACCAAAUACUCCCACCGUAAUGCACUGCCACAGGCCUAAAGCACCAGGGUCAACCUAUCGUGGAUUGAAAACUCUAGAACUAUGAAACAAAAUAAACUUCUCUUUAUAUGGUUA